UAGGAGACCAAAUAAAACGUCAAUUUACGAU
This 31-nucleotide non-coding RNA is filed under the name Mus musculus (house mouse). The record is from RNAcentral. Lineage: Eukaryota; Metazoa; Chordata; Mammalia; Rodentia; Muridae. RNAcentral also lists the same sequence under 1 other name.